Aphidius gifuensis is the source of this 462-nucleotide long non-coding RNA. RefSeq lists it as uncharacterized. The record is from RefSeq and is a predicted model, not a curated record. Lineage: Eukaryota; Metazoa; Arthropoda; Insecta; Hymenoptera; Braconidae. The transcript is spliced from 2 exons.
UUGUUUAAAUUGAUAUAAAUUAAAUUUUUUAUAAAUUCAUCUAUUUAUCAAUUAUUUCUGAUGGUAUUUAAAUUAUGCUGGUUGGUAAAUUGUUUAAAAAAAAAAAGGGGGAAAUGAAAAAUAUAUAUAUUUAAAAAAAAAAAUAAUAAAUAAUACAUUUGAACGGUAUUUCCCGUGGUGAGUUAGUUGGUUGGUCGGUUGGGUGAGUGAAGAGAGCUUUCCCUCCCGGUAGCGCGUGUUAUAGUAAAAGUGGCUGUACGGGAAUUGUUGUAUAUACCACUAAAGAGUGAAAAUCCUUUCGCUGAUAUUAUAUGUUAUUUUAUCAGCAAACAAACACAGUUGUUGUCAGCUUGGUCUCGAUGUGUGUCUCAUUGCGAGUACGUGCGUAUUAUUAUAGUAUAAAGUACACAUACUUAAACUUAUAUACAUUAUAAAUAUAAAAAAAAUAAAAAAAAACAACAA